This 245-nucleotide ribosomal RNA is filed under the name uncultured bacterium. Its description in RNAcentral is "partial 16S ribosomal RNA". It matches the Rfam family "Bacterial small subunit ribosomal RNA", at positions 524 to 768 of the family's 1533-position model. The record is from RNAcentral.
UACGAAGGGGGCUAGCGUUGUUCGGAAUUACUGGGCGUAAAGCGCACGUAGGCGGAUGUGCCAGUCAGGGGUGAAAUCCCGAGGCUCAACCUCGGAACUGCCUCCGAUACAGCACGUCUCGAGUCCGGAAGAGGUGAGUGGAAUUCCUAGUGUAGAGGUGAAAUUCGUAGAUAUUAGGAAGAACACCAGUGGCGAAGGCGGCUCACUGGUCCGGUACUGACGCUGAGGUGCGAAAGCGUGGGGAG